Molecule: ribosomal RNA, 461 nt
Filed under: uncultured bacterium
Lineage: Bacteria
Description: bacterial SSU rRNA
Rfam family: Bacterial small subunit ribosomal RNA
Source: RNAcentral
UUACGGGAGGCAGCAGUGGGGAAUAUUGGACAAUGGGCGAAAGCCUGAUCCAGCCAUGCCGCGUGUGUGAAGAAGGUCUUCGGAUUGUAAAGCACUUUAAGUUGGGAGGAAGGGCAGUUACCUAAUACGUGAUUGUUUUGACGUUACCGACAGAAUAAGCACCGGCUAACUCUGUGCCAGCAGCCGCGGUAAUACAGAGGGUGCAAGCGUUAAUCGGAAUUACUGGGCGUAAAGCGCGCGUAGGUGGUUAGUUAAGUUGGAUGUGAAAUCCCCGGGCUCAACCUGGGAACUGCAUUCAAAACUGACUGACUAGAGUAUGGUAGAGGGUGGUGGAAUUUCCUGUGUAGCGGUGAAAUGCGUAGAUAUAGGAAGGAACACCAGUGGCGAAGGCGACCACCUGGACUGAUACUGACACUGAGGUGCGAAAGCGUGGGGAGCAAACAGGAUUAGAUACCCCGGUA